This 1096-nucleotide long non-coding RNA is filed under the name Ficedula albicollis (Collared flycatcher). RNAcentral describes it as "lncRNA (ENSFALG00000026306.1)". The record is from RNAcentral. Lineage: Eukaryota; Metazoa; Chordata; Aves; Passeriformes; Muscicapidae.
CCCCCCCCCCCCCCCCCCCCCCCCCCCCCCCCCCNNNNNNNNNNNNNNNNNNNNNNNNNNNNNNNNNNNAGGCGCUUCCCGGCGCUUCCCGGCGCUUCCCGGCGCUUCCCGGCGCUUCCCGGCGCUUCCCGGCGCUUCCCGGCGCUUCCCGGCGCUUCCCGGCGCUUCCCGGCGCUUCCCGGCGCUUCCCGGCGCUUCCCGGCGCUUCCCGGCGCUUCCCGGCGCUUCCCGGCGCUUCCCGGCGCUUCCCGGCGCUUCCCGGCGCUUCCCGGCGCUUCCCGGCGCUUCCCGGCGCUUCCCGGCGCUUCCCGGCGCUUCCCGGCGCUUCCCGGCGCUUCCCGGCGCUUCCCGGCGCUUCCCGGCGCUUCCCGGCGCUUCCCGGCGCUUCCCGGCGCUUCCCGGCGCUUCCCGGCGCUUCCCGGCGCUUCCCGGCGCUUCCCGGAGCAUCCCGGAGCAUCCCGGAGCAUCCCGGAGCAUCCCGGAGCGGCGAGUGCGGGUGGCGCUGCCCGGGUCACCCCUCGGUGCUGUGCUGCCCCCGGGGCUCUGCUCCACCUCCUGUCACCCCGGGGUGCUGUGCUCUACCUUGUGUCACCCCGGGGUGCUGUGCUGCCCCCGGGGCUGUGCUCCACCUCCUCCCCAUGGGGAGCAGGAGAGGAGCAUGAACACCGCAGUGGAGAUGGUGCUUUGUGCUGCGUCUUUGUGAGUUGGGGCUUCUGGUGCCCCUUCUCCUGCCGGGUGCAGCUCCGGGCUCUGCUCGCUGCUGCGGGGUCCCUGCGGCCUCGUCCUGCGCCCCAAACGGGCAGGGAUGGGGGUCCGGGGGCAGCUUUGGCCGCUCCCGCACGGAUUCCGCUCGCAGUGCUGAGCCCGAGGUGCCCGAGCCCCUCUGCGGGCAUCGCCCCGGCCAGGGGCUGCUUCUGCAGGCAGGCUGCGGGGCGCGUUUGUGCAGGGGGGAAAACGGAGACCAGAAAAUUAAUAUAGAUGUGCUCCUGCGCUCUGGAAGUGGAUGGGGAUCACCACAGCACCGUACGAUUCAUUAAAAAUAUAAUUCUGAUGCACUGUAAUUAAAAAAAAAAUUGUUUGCAAACCAGGUGGGGAU